GGCACCUGAUCAUUCAUGCCGCGUGAGUGAAGAAGGCUUCGGGUUGUAAAGCUCUUUUGUCAGGAAAGAAACACCGGCUCUAACACAGUCCGGGAAUGACGGUACCUGAAGAAUAAGCACCGGCUAACUACGUGCCAGCAGCCGCGGUAAUACGUAGGGUGCGAGCGUUAAUCGGAAUUACUGGGCGUAAAGCGUGCGCAGGCGGUUGUACAAGACAGGCGUGAAAUCCCCGGGCUUAACCUGCGAAUGGCGCCUGUGACUGUACGGCUAGAGUGUGUCAGAGGGGGGUAGAAUUCCACGUGUAGCAGUGAAAUGCGUAGAUAUGUGGAGGAAUACCAAUGGCGAAGGCAGCCCCCUGGGAUAACACUGACGCUCAUGCACGAAAGCGUGGGGAGCAAACAGGAUUAGAUACCCUGGUAGUCCACGCCCUAAACGAUGCUGACUAGUUGUUCGGGAUUUACAUCCUGAGUAACGUAGCUAACGCGUGAGGUCAGCCGCCUGAGGAGUACGGUCGCAAGAUUAAAACUCAAAGGAAUUGACGGGGACCCGCACAAGCGGUGGAUGAUGUGGAUUAAUUCGAUGCAACGCGAAAAAGCUUACCUACCCUUGACAUGUCACUAACGAAGUAGAGAUACAUUAGGUGCUCGUAAG
RNAcentral lists this ribosomal RNA (651 nucleotides) under uncultured bacterium. Its description in RNAcentral is "bacterial SSU rRNA". It matches the Rfam family "Bacterial small subunit ribosomal RNA", at positions 378 to 1024 of the family's 1533-position model. The record is from RNAcentral.